CUCCAGGAGACUGGGGGCGGGGCUUUCUCCACAUUAUCGCACUCAGCACCGAAUGGCGACUCUAGAGCAACAUUGGACCACUGACGCUGCUUACCACCCAGAACCUGGGGCUGUGUGAGUAUGAAAGCGCAGUUGUUAAACCCGAUGCAGGCAGCAAGGGCUGAAAGGAAAAGUGUAGAGUUUCUUCAGAUUCGAGGCACACUCGGCUGCUGUGGCACCAGGGAGUGACCUAACGCCAGCAAAACAACAGAGAUGCAAACAAAUCCAGUCAGUGAUGAGAAGACAUGCCCCAAUAUAACCGCAUAGGUUUUCAUCUCACACGUCUAAAGUCUCCAAACAGGACAUCUGAAGAUGCUGGCUAGAAUUAAAACUUUGUCAUUGUUGUUGUUGUGAAA
Myodes glareolus (Bank vole) is the source of this 395-nucleotide long non-coding RNA. RefSeq lists it as uncharacterized. The record is from RefSeq and is a predicted model, not a curated record. NCBI's taxonomy places the organism in Eukaryota, Metazoa, Chordata, Mammalia, Rodentia, Cricetidae.